Molecule: ribosomal RNA, 498 nt
Filed under: uncultured bacterium
Lineage: Bacteria
Description: bacterial SSU rRNA
Rfam family: Bacterial small subunit ribosomal RNA
Source: RNAcentral
GAUGAACGCUAGCGGCAGGCUUAAUACAUGCAAGUUGAGGGGCAGCAUGAUAUACGCGAGUAUAUUGAUGGCGACCGGCGGACGGGUGAGUAAUAGGUAGGAGACCUACCUCAUACAGGGGGAUAGCAUAGAGAAAUCUGUGGUAAUACCCCAUGAGGUUAUAUGAAUAGAGGCAUAUAAUCAAAGCAUAAGUGAUUAUGCGGUAUGAGAGGGGCCUACUGACCAUUAGCUAGUUGGUGAGGUAAGGGCUCACCAAGGCGAAGAUGGUUAGGGGUUUUGAGAGAGAGACCCCCCACAUUGGAACUGAGAGACGGUCCAGACUCCUACGGGAGCAGCAGUAGGGAAUAUUGGGCAAUGGGCGAAAGCCUGACCCAGCCAUGCCGCGUGAAGGAAGACGGCCUUAUGGGUUGUAAACUUCUUUACUACGCGAAUAGAGGUUAGUACGAGAUACUAAUAGGAAGGUAGUGUAGUAAAAGCACCGGCUAACUCCGUGACCCG